Molecule: ribosomal RNA, 433 nt
Filed under: uncultured bacterium
Lineage: Bacteria
Description: partial 16S ribosomal RNA
Rfam family: Bacterial small subunit ribosomal RNA
Source: RNAcentral
AACGAACGCUGGCGGCAUGCCUAACACAUGCAAGUCGAACGAGACCUUCGGGUCUAGUGGCGCACGGGUGCGUAACGCGUGGGAACCUGCCCUUAGGUUCGGAAUAACUCCCCGAAAGGGGUGCUAAUACCGGAUAAUGUCUUCGGACCAAAGAUUUAUCGCCUUUGGAUGGGCCCGCGUUGGAUUAGCUAGUUGGUAGGGUAAAAGCCUACCAAGGCGACGAUCCAUAGCUGGGCUGAGAGGAUGAUCAGCCACACUGGGACUGAGACACGGCCCAGACUCCUACGGGAAGCAGCAGUGGGGAAUAUUGGACAAUGGGCGAAAGCCUGAUCCAGCAAUGCCGCGUGAGUGAUGAAGGCCUUAGGGUUGUAAAGCUCUUUUACCCGGGAUGAUAAUGACAGUACCGGGAGAAUAAGCUCCGGCUAACUCCGUG